GCCCAAGAUUGAAAGCUGGCGUCUUCGGCGUCCGCAUUGUAAUCUCAAGAAGUGUUUUCCGCUUCGGACCAUGCCUAAGUCCCUUGGAAAAGGGCAUCAUAGAGGGUGAUAAUCCCGUACAUGGCAUGGAGCGCCCGAGGCUUUGUGAUACGCUUUCUAAGAGUCGAGUUGUUUGGGAAUGCAGCUCAAAAUGGGUGGUAAAUGCCAUCUAAGGCUAAAUAUUGGGGAGAGACCGAUAGCGAACAAGUACAGUGAUGGAAAGAUGAAAAGAACUUUGAAAAGAGAGUUAAACAGUACGUGAAAUUGCCAAAAGGGAAGGGUAGGAGGUCAGAGAUGCGUCUUGGGAUUCAGCCUUGCUUUUGCUUGGUGUUUUUCCCAAGUUGCAGGCCAACGUCGGUUUUGGGCACUGGAGAAGGGUGGAAGGAACGUGGCACCUCUCGGGGUGUGUUAUAGCCUUCUACUGGAUACAGCGACCGAGACCGAGGACAGCAGCGUACUCGCAAGAGCGGGCCUUCGGGCACCUUUACGCUUAGGGCGUUGGCAUAAUGGCCCUCUACCACC
This 561-nucleotide ribosomal RNA is filed under the name Anthracocystis elionuri. RNAcentral describes it as "LSU rRNA". It matches the Rfam family "Eukaryotic large subunit ribosomal RNA", at positions 107 to 649 of the family's 3401-position model. Lineage: Eukaryota; Fungi; Basidiomycota; Ustilaginomycetes; Ustilaginales; Ustilaginaceae. The record is from RNAcentral.